GUGGGGAAUUUUGGACAAUGGGCGCAAGCCUGAUCCAGCAAUGCCGCGUGAGUGAAGAAGGCCUUCGGGUUGUAAAGCUCUUUUGUCAGGGAAGAAACGGCUGAGGUUAAUACCUUCGGCUAAUGACGGUACCUGAAGAAUAAGCACCGGCUAACUACGUGCCAGCAGCCGCGGUAAUACGUAGGGUGCAAGCGUUAAUCGGAAUUACUGGGCGUAAAGCGUGCGCAGGCGGUUUUGUAAGUCUGACGUGAAAUCCCCGGGCUCAACCUGGGAAUUGCGUUGGAGACUGCAAGGCUGGAGUCUGGCAGAGGGGGGUAGAAUUCCACGUGUAGCAGUGAAAUGCGUAGAGAUGUGGAGGAACACCGAUGGCGAAGGCAGCCCCCUGGGUCAAGACUGACGCUCAUGCACGAAAGCGUGGGGAGCAAACAGGAUUAGAAACCCUAGUAGUCC
RNAcentral lists this ribosomal RNA (450 nucleotides) under uncultured bacterium. RNAcentral's name for it is "bacterial SSU rRNA". It matches the Rfam family "Bacterial small subunit ribosomal RNA", at positions 354 to 796 of the family's 1533-position model. The record is from RNAcentral.